Molecule: long non-coding RNA, 217 nt
Filed under: Lathyrus oleraceus (garden pea)
Lineage: Eukaryota; Viridiplantae; Streptophyta; Magnoliopsida; Fabales; Fabaceae
Description: Pisum sativum (pea) long non-coding RNA (PSAT_LNC009741)
Source: RNAcentral
CAGAAAGUAGGAUUUACAACUACCAGUUACUGGGCAGAAGACCAAAGAUGAGAGUAUUCGUCAUCGGUUAGGAUGAACAUAUCAAGGAUAAACUCAACAGGGAAGAAAAUCUGUCAUCGGUUAGGAUGAACAUAUCAAGGAUAGACUUGCCUGGGAAUGUCAAGGAGGAUACCCAUCAUCGGUUAGGAUGAGCAUAUCAAGGAUAUACCAACUAAAC